CCAAUAGCGUAUAUUAAAGUUGUUGCAGUUAAAAAGCUCGUAGUUGAAUUUUGGGGUCAGUAGGUUGGUCGUGCCACCGGUACGUACUGGUCUCACUGAUUCCUCCUUCCUGAUGAACUGUAAUGCCAUUAAUUUGGUGUUGCAGGGAAACUGGACUGUUACUUUGAAAAAAUUAGAGUUUUUAAAGCAGGCUAACGCUUGAAUACAUUAACAUGGAAUAAUGAAAUAGGACGUUCGAUCCUAUUUUGUUGGUUUCUAGGAUUGAGGUAAUGAUUAAUAGGGAUAGUUGGGGGCAUUAGUAUUCAAUUGUCAGAGGUGAAAUUCUUGGAUUUAUUGAAGACUAACUACUGCGAAAGCAUUUGCCAAGGAUGUUUUCAUUAAUCAAGAGCGAAAGUUAGGGGAUCGAAGACGAUCAGAUACCGUCGUAGUCUUAACCAUAAACUAUGCCGACUAGGGAUCGGAUGAUGUUAAUUUUUUAAUGACUCAUUCGGCGCCUUACG
This 500-nucleotide ribosomal RNA is filed under the name uncultured Glomeromycotina. RNAcentral describes it as "partial small subunit ribosomal RNA". It matches the Rfam family "Eukaryotic small subunit ribosomal RNA", at positions 591 to 1092 of the family's 1831-position model. The record is from RNAcentral. Lineage: Eukaryota; Fungi; Glomeromycota.